This 501-nucleotide ribosomal RNA is filed under the name uncultured bacterium. RNAcentral's name for it is "bacterial SSU rRNA". It matches the Rfam family "Bacterial small subunit ribosomal RNA", at positions 37 to 505 of the family's 1533-position model. The record is from RNAcentral.
GAAAGAUCCGGGGCUCAGCUUGAAANACAUGGCNGGCAGGCCUAAACACAUGCAAAGUCGAGCGGAUGAGAAGAGCUUGCUCUUCGAUUCAGCGGCGGACGGGUGAGUAAUGCCUAGGAAUCUGCCUGGUAGUGGGGGACAACGUUUCGAAAGGAACGCUAAUACCGCAUACGUCCUACGGGAGAAAAGCAGGGGACCUUCGGCCCUUGCGCUAUCAGAUGAGCCUAGGUCGGAUUAGCUAGUUGGUGAGGUAAUGGCUCACCAAGGCGACGAUCCGUAACUGGUCUGAGAGGAUGAUCAGUCACACUGGAACUGAGACACGGUCCAGACUCCUACGGGAGGCAGCAGUGGGGAAUAUUGGACAAUGGGCGAAAGCCUGAUCCAGCCAUGCCGCGUGUGUGAAGAAGGUCUUCGGAUUGUAAANCACUUUAAGUUGGGAGGNAGGCAUUGAACUUGNUACCUUGAUAUGACUUCUACCUGUACGAACUCCAGUCCAGCCCC